Anolis carolinensis (green anole) is the source of this 784-nucleotide long non-coding RNA. RefSeq lists it as uncharacterized. The record is from RefSeq and is a predicted model, not a curated record. The transcript is spliced from 3 exons. NCBI's taxonomy places the organism in Eukaryota, Metazoa, Chordata, Lepidosauria, Squamata, Anolidae.
GACUAUGUGGAUCCAGAAUAGGUCUUCACGAUCAUUUACAAAUCCACCGCUAAGACUGUACCUCUGAAAAACAAUCAUACACAGCUAUGAGUGAUAGCCCACAAUAAUAUAGCAGUGUAGAUGCAGCCUACAUCACAAUGGUGCUCUGAGAGGGCUUAUAGAUGCAACCACACAGAGGGAAAGUGUUUAAGCACAGUAGCCUAGUUGUAAGGGAAGAUAAAUUCGUAACCAGGCCAGACUCAGCACCUUCAGGCUGCAGCCGCUCCCUGUACUCUAAUCAGGAAGAAAAUCCCGAGGGGAAAUAGUUCAAUUUGCAACAUCCAUGAAGGAUUCUCUGCCCAGCAACCAUCAAGAAUGUGACAGAGGGAGACAUUCAAAGACUAACCAAAUGCAGCGCUUGCUCACCAUGCUGUGUUCCUGAUAAAUAUGCCUCUUCCCAUCAGCAGCUGCUCUUUCCUAGUAGCCAAACUAUGCAUGCUGACAAGGCUUUGCUUAAUCAGGCCUUUCUAUAAAGCUCGUUGGAAUCUCAUCAAUACACUGUUGGUGGGGAAGCAGACCCAGAAGGUUUGGCGACACCACCAUUCUGCCCAAUUUCUUUUUGGAGCAUGCGGAGGGGUGGCUGGACAGGAUAUUAGCCAGAAGCACAGCACCCACUGAAGCUCACUGGUAGGUAAUAAGUCUCGGAUUUGAAGAUAUCUGAAUGGUCCCUCAAAACACACACACACACACAUACACUCUCUCUCACACACAAACCACUAUAGCAUAUGACAGAAAACAGCCACAG